This 860-nucleotide ribosomal RNA is filed under the name uncultured bacterium. RNAcentral's name for it is "bacterial SSU rRNA". It matches the Rfam family "Bacterial small subunit ribosomal RNA", at positions 8 to 835 of the family's 1533-position model. The record is from RNAcentral.
AGAGUUUGAUCCUGGCUCAGGACGAACGCUGGCGGCGUGCCUAAUACAUGCAAGUCGAGCGAGCGGAACCAACAGAUUUACUUCGGUAAUGACGUUGGGAAAGCGAGCGGCGGAUGGGUGAGUAACACGUGGGGAACCUGCCCCUAAGUCUGGGAUACCAUUUGGAAACAGGUGCUAAUACCGGAUAAUAAAGCAGAUCGCAUGAUCAGCUUUUGAAAGGCGGCGCAAGCUGUCGCUAAGGGAUGGCCCCGCGGUGCAUUAGCUAGUUGGUAAGGUAACGGCUUACCAAGGCGACGAUGCAUAGCCGAGUUGAGAGACUGAUCGGCCACAUUGGGACUGAGACACGGCCCAAACUCCUACGGGAGGCAGCAGUAGGGAACUUCCACAAUGGACGCAAGUCUGAUGGAGCAACGCCGCGUGAGUGAAGAAGGUUUUCGGAUCGUAAAGCUCUGUUGUUGGUGAAGAAGGAUAGAGGUAGUAACUGGCCUUUAUUUGACGGUAAUCAACCAGAAAGUCACGGCUAACUACGUGCCAGCAGCCGCGGUAAUACGUAGGUGGCAAGCGUUGUCCGGAUUUAUUGGGCGUAAAGCGAGCGCAGGCGGAAAAAUAAGUCUAAUGUGAAAGCCCUCGGCUUAACCGAGGAACUGCAUCGGAAACUGUUUUUCUUGAGUGCAGAAGAGGAGAGUGGAACUCCAUGUGUAGCGGUGGAAUGCGUAGAUAUAUGGAAGAACACCAGUGGCGAAGGCGGCUCUCUGGUCUGCAACUGACGCUGAGGCUCGAAAGCAUGGGUAGCGAACAGGAAUUAGAUACCCUGGUAGUCCAUGCCGUAAACGAUGAGUGCUAAGUGUUGGGAGGUUUCC